CUACUCCGUGCCAGCAGCCGCGGUAAUACGGAGGGUGCAAGCGUUAUCCGGAUUUAUUGGGUUUAAAGGGUCCGCAGGCGGACCAAUAAGUCAGUGGUGAAAUCUCUCGGCUCAACCGAGAAACUGCCAUUGAUACUGUUGGUCUAGAGUGUAGUUGGCGUAGGCGGAAUAUAUCAUGUAGCGGUGAAAUGCUUAGAUAUGAUAUAGAACACCGAUCGCGAAGGCAGCUUACGAAACUACAACUGACGCUCAGGGACGAAAGCGUGGGGAGCGAACAGGAUUAGAUACCCUGGUAGUCCACGCUGUAAACGAUGAUUACUCGUUGUCGGCGAUAUACUGUCGGUGGCUAAGCGAAAGUGAUAAGUAAUCCACCUGGGGAGUACGAUCGCAAGGUUGAAACUCAAAGGAAUUGACGGGGGCCCGCACAAGCGGAGGAGCAUGUGGUUUAAUUCGAUGAUACGCGAGGAACCUUACCUGGGCUUAAAUGCUUAAUGACGUACUGGGAAACCGGUAUUUCUUCGGACAUUUUGCAAGGUGCUGCAUGGUUGUCGUCAGCUCGUGCCGUGAGGUGUCGGGUUAAGUCCCAUAACGAGCGCAACCCCUAUCGUUAGUUGCCAUCAGGUAAUGCUGGGGACUCUAACGAAACUGCCCGCGUAAGCGUGGAGGAAGGCGGGGAUGACGUCAAAUCAGCACGGCCCUUACGUCCAGGGCUACACACGUGCUACAAUGGCCGGUACAGAGGGCAGCCACUUGGUGACAAGGAGCAAAUCUCAAAAGCCGGUCUCAGUUCGGAUCGGAGUCUGCAACUCGACUCCGUGAAGUUGGAUUCGCUAGUAAUCGUAGAUCAGCAAUGCUACGGUGAAUACGUUCCCGGGCCUUGUACACACCGCCCGUCAAACAAUGGAAGCUGGGGGUACCUAAAGUCCGUAACCGUAAGGAGCGGCCUAGGGUAAAACUGGUAACUGGUGUUAAGUCGUAACAAGGUAAC
Molecule: ribosomal RNA, 988 nt
Filed under: uncultured bacterium
Lineage: Bacteria
Description: bacterial SSU rRNA
Rfam family: Bacterial small subunit ribosomal RNA
Source: RNAcentral